CCCUUAGAUGUUCUGGGCCGCACGCGCGCUACACUGAUGCAUUCAACGAGUUUCUUCCUGGUCCGAGAGGAAUGGGUAACCUUUUGAAAGUGCAUCGUGAUAGGGAUAGACUAUUGCAAUUAUUGGUCUUCAACGAGGAAUUCCUAGUAGACGUAGUUCAUCAGACUGCAUCGAUUACGUCCCUGCCCUUUGUACAAACCGCCCGUCGCUCCUACCGAUUGAAUGCUCAGGUGAGCCAUUCGGACUUUCAUCAUGCUGGUUUCCAGUUUUGAUGAAGGAAAGUCUUGCGAACCUUAUCAUUUAGAGGAAGGAGAAGUCGUAACA
Molecule: ribosomal RNA, 324 nt
Filed under: uncultured eukaryote
Lineage: Eukaryota
Description: partial 18S ribosomal RNA
Rfam family: Eukaryotic small subunit ribosomal RNA
Source: RNAcentral